GGUGAUGCAGAGCUUGCUCUGCUGAUCAGUGGCGAACGGGUGAGUAACACGUGAGUAACCUGCCCUUGACUCUGGGAUAAGCGCUGGAAACGGCGUCUAAUACCGGAUACGACCUUCCCCGGCAUCGGGUGGGGGUGGAAAGAUUUUUUGGUCAAGGAUGGACUCGCGGCCUAUCAGCUUGUUGGUGAGGUAAUGGCUCACCAAGGCGACGACGGGUAGCCGGCCUGAGAGGGUGACCGGCCACACUGGGACUGAGACACGGCCCAGACUCCUACGGGAGGCAGCAGUGGGGAAUAUUGCACAAUGGGCGAAAGCCUGAUGCAGCAACGCCGCGUGAGGGAUGACGGCCUUCGGGUUGUAAACCUCUUUUGGCAGGGAAGAAGCGAAAGUGACGGUACCUGCAGAAAAAGCACCGGCUAACUACGUGCCAGCAGCCGCGGUAAUACGUAGGGUGCGAGCGUUGUCCGGAAUUAUUGGGCGUAAAGAGCUCGUAGGCGGUUUGUCGCGUCUGCUGUGAAAUCCCGAGGCUCAACCUCGGGCCUGCAGUGGGUACGGGCAAACUAGAGUGCAGUAGGGGAGACUGGAAUUCCUGGUGUAGCGGUGGAAUGCGCAGAUAUCAGGAGGAACACCGAUGGCGAAGGCAGGUCUCUGGGCUGUAACUGACGCUGAGGAGCGAAAGCGUGGGGAGCGAACAGGAUUAGAUACCCUGGUAGUCCACGCCGUAAACGUUGGGCGCUAGAUGUGGGGACCAUUCCACGGUUUCCGUGUCGCAGCU
This 775-nucleotide ribosomal RNA is filed under the name Amnibacterium sp. RNAcentral's name for it is "bacterial SSU rRNA". It matches the Rfam family "Bacterial small subunit ribosomal RNA", at positions 68 to 853 of the family's 1533-position model. Lineage: Bacteria; Bacillati; Actinomycetota; Actinomycetes; Micrococcales; Microbacteriaceae. The record is from RNAcentral.